AUCGCUUCUCGGGCCUCUGGCUCAGAUCAAGUGUAGUAUCUGUUCUUAUCAGUUUAAUAUCUGAUAUGUCUUCUAUUUGAGGACUAUAUAUUAAAUUGAUUUUUGGAACAGGGAGAUGGAAUAGGAGCUUGCUCCAUCCACUCCAUGCAUUGACCUGGUAUUGCAGUGCUUCCAGGAAUAGUGCACCUCCC
RNAcentral lists this small nuclear RNA (191 nucleotides) under Gopherus agassizii (Agassiz's desert tortoise). Its description in RNAcentral is "U2 spliceosomal RNA (ENSGAGG00000008961.1)". It matches the Rfam family "U2 spliceosomal RNA". From Rfam's summary of the family: U2 is a small nuclear RNA (snRNA) component of the spliceosome (involved in pre-mRNA splicing). Complementary binding between U2 snRNA (in an area lying towards the 5' end but 3' to hairpin I) and the branchpoint sequence (BPS) of the intron results the bulging out of an unpaired adenosine, on the BPS, which initiates a nucleophilic attack at the intronic 5' splice site, thus starting the first of two transesterification reactions that mediate splicing. Lineage: Eukaryota; Metazoa; Chordata; Testudines; Testudinidae. The record is from Rfam by way of RNAcentral.